CCUACGGGAGGCAGCAGUGGGGAAUAUUGGACAAUGGGCGAAAGCCUGAUCCAGCCAUGCCGCGUGUGUGAAGAAGGCCUUUUGGUUGUAAAGCACUUUAAGCGAGGAGGAGGCUACCGAGAUUAAUACUCUUGGAUAGUGGACGUUACUCGCAGAAUAAGCACCGGCUAACUUCGUGCCAGCAGCCGCGGUAAU
Molecule: ribosomal RNA, 195 nt
Filed under: uncultured bacterium
Lineage: Bacteria
Description: partial 16S ribosomal RNA
Rfam family: Bacterial small subunit ribosomal RNA
Source: RNAcentral